Molecule: non-coding RNA, 113 nt
Organism: Acanthosepion pharaonis
Lineage: Eukaryota; Metazoa; Mollusca; Cephalopoda; Sepiida; Sepiidae
Source: the annotation of a GenBank genome assembly
UACGGCCAUAUCACGUUGAAACACCGGUUCCCGUACGAUCACCGAAGUUAAGCAACGUUGAGCUUGGUCAGUACCAAGAUUGAUGACUGUUUGAGAAUGUCAGGUGCUGUAAG